RNAcentral lists this ribosomal RNA (446 nucleotides) under uncultured bacterium. RNAcentral describes it as "bacterial SSU rRNA". It matches the Rfam family "Bacterial small subunit ribosomal RNA", at positions 330 to 792 of the family's 1533-position model. The record is from RNAcentral.
UCCAGACUCCUACGGGAGGCAGCAGUGGGGGAUAUUGCACAAUGGGGGGAACCCUGAUGCAGCGACGCCGCGUGGGUGAAGGAGCGUUUCGGCGCGUAAAGCCCUCUCGGCAGGGAAGAAGGAGGACGGUACCUGACUAAGAAGCCCCGGAUAACUACGUGCCAGCAGCCGCGGUAAUACGUAGGGGGCAAGCGUUAUCCGGAUUUACUGGGUGUAAAGGGGGCGCAGACGGCAGCGCAAGCCAGGAGUGAAAGCCCGGGGCCCAACCCCGGGACUGCUCUUGGAACUGCGCGGCUGGAGUGCAGGAGGGGCAGGCGGAAUUCCUGGUGUAGCGGUGAAAUGCGUAGAUAUCAGGAGGAACACCGGUGGCGAAGGCGGCCUGCUGGACUGCGACUGACGUUGAGGCCCGAAAGCGUGGGGAGCAAACAGGAUUAGAUACCCUAGUA